GGGGAAAGCUGCAGGCUGAUUCUGGGCGUCGGACGAUGAAACCGGGUUGAUUGUGUGGAUUAGUGGCGAAAGGGUGAGUAACACGUGAGUUACCUGCCCUUGACUCUGGGAUAAGCCUGGGAAACUGGGUCUAAUACCGGAUAUGACCGACUAUCGCAUGGUGGUUGGUGGAAAGCUUUUGUGGUUUUGGAUGGACUCGCGGCCUAUCAGCUUGUUGGUGGGGUAAUGGCCUACCAAGGCGACGACGGGUAGCCGGCCUGAGAGGGUGACCGGCCACACUGGGACUGAGACACGGCCCAGACUCCUACGGGAGGCAGCAGUGGGGAAUAUUGCACAAUGGGCGCAAGCCUGAUGCAGCGACGCCGCGUGAGGGAUGACGGCCUUCGGGUUGUAAACCUCUUUCAGUAGGGAAGAAGCCGCAAGGUGACGGUACCUGCAGAAGAAGCGCCGGCUAACUACGUGCCCAGCAGCCGCGGUAAUACGUAGGGCGCAAGCGUUAUCCGGGAAUUAUUGGGCGUAAAGAGCUCGUAGGCGGUUUGUCGCGUCUGCCGUGAAAGUCCGGGGCUCAACUCCGGAUCUGCGGUGGGUACGGGCAGACUAGAGUGAUGUAGGGGAGACUGGAAUUCCUGGUGUAGCGGUGAAAUGCGCAGAUAUCAGGAGGAACACCGAUGGCGAAGGCAGGUCUCUGGGCAUUAACUGACGCUGAGGAGCGAAAGCAUGGGGAGCGAACAGGAUUAGAUACCCUGGUAGUCCAUGCCGUAAACGUUGGGCACUAGGUGUGGGGGACAUUCCACGUUUUCCGCGCCGUAGCUAACGCAUUAAGUGCCCCGCCUGGGGAGUACGGCCGCAAGGCUAAAACUCAAAGGAAUUGACGGGGGCCCGCACAAGCGGCGGAGCAUGCGGAUUAAUUCGAUGCAACGCGAAGAACCUUACCAAGGCUUGACAUGAACCAGACCGCCGCAGAAACAUGUUUUCCACUUGUGGCUGGUUUACAGGUGGUGCAUGGUUGUCGUCAGCUCGUGUCGUGAGAUGUUGGGUUAAGUCCCGCAACGAGCGCAACCCUCGUUCCAUGUUGCCAGCGGGUAGUGCCGGGGACUCAUGGGAGACUGCCGGGGUCAACUCGGAGGAAGGUGGGGACGACGUCAAAUCAUCAUGCCCCUUAUGUCUUGGGCUUCACGCAUGCUACAAUGGCCGGUACAAAGGGUUGCGAUACUGUGAGGUGGAGCUAAUCCCAAAAAGCCGGUCUCAGUUCGGAUUGGGGUCUGCAACUCGACCCCAUGAAGUCGGAGUCGCUAGUAAUCGCAGAUCAGCAACGCUGCGGUGAAUACGUUCCCGGGCCUUGUACACACUACCCGUCAAGUCACG
Molecule: ribosomal RNA, 1365 nt
Filed under: Pseudarthrobacter chlorophenolicus
Lineage: Bacteria; Bacillati; Actinomycetota; Actinomycetes; Micrococcales; Micrococcaceae
Description: bacterial SSU rRNA
Rfam family: Bacterial small subunit ribosomal RNA
Source: RNAcentral